UACGGAGGGUGCGAGCGUUAAUCGGAAUAACUGGGCGUAAAGCGCGCGUAGGGGGGUUGUUAAGUAGGAUGUGAAAUCCCCGGGCUCAACUUGAGAACUGCAUGCCAAACUGGGAGGCUAGAGUACAGUAGGGGGUAGUGGAAUUCCGCGUGUAGCGGUGAAAUGCGUAGAGAUGUGGAGGAACACCAGUGGCGAAGGCGACUGCCUGGGCUUAUACUGACGCUGAGGUGCGAAAGCGUGGGGAGCAAACAGG
RNAcentral lists this ribosomal RNA (253 nucleotides) under uncultured bacterium. RNAcentral's name for it is "partial 16S ribosomal RNA". It matches the Rfam family "Bacterial small subunit ribosomal RNA", at positions 524 to 776 of the family's 1533-position model. The record is from RNAcentral.